GACGAACGCUGGCGGCGUGCUUAACACAUGCAAGUCGAACGGAAAGGCCCUGCUUUUGUGGGGUGCUCGAGUGGCGAACGGGUGAGUAACACGUGAGUAACCUGCCCUUGACUUUUGGAUAACUUCAGGAAACUGGGGCUAAUACCGGAUAGGAGCUCCUGCUUCAUGGUGGGGGUUGGAAAGUUUCGGCGGUUGGGGAUGGACUCGCGGCUUAUCAGCUUGUUGGUGGGGUAGUGGCUUACCAAGGCUUUGACGGGUAGCCGGCCUGAGAGGGUGACCGGCCACAUUGGGACUGAGAUACGGCCCAGACUCCUACGGGAGGCAGCAGUGGGGAAUAUUGCAAAAUGGGCGGAAGCCUGAUGCAGCAACGCCGCGUGCGGGAUGACGGCCUUCGGGUUGUAAACCGCUUUCGCCUGUGACGAAGCGUGAGUGACGGUAAUGGGUAAAGAAGCACCGGCUAACUACGUG
RNAcentral lists this ribosomal RNA (468 nucleotides) under uncultured bacterium. RNAcentral's name for it is "partial 16S ribosomal RNA". It matches the Rfam family "Bacterial small subunit ribosomal RNA", at positions 28 to 507 of the family's 1533-position model. The record is from RNAcentral.